This is a long non-coding RNA of Aethalodelphis obliquidens (Pacific white-sided dolphin), 7186 nucleotides long. RefSeq lists it as uncharacterized. The record is from RefSeq and is a predicted model, not a curated record. The transcript has 4 exons. NCBI's taxonomy places the organism in Eukaryota, Metazoa, Chordata, Mammalia, Artiodactyla, Delphinidae.
CUGACGGGCUGACACAGCACAGGAUUGUAUGGGCACGGGCCUCUUUGGCCAGACUGGGAGGGAGACUGAGAGAAACUGGAGGAGGUGACGCCCGGCAGCCAGACCGCCGGGUGUGUGUAGCGAUGAGUCUGGUCUUGCCCUGGGCGGGCACCGGUGCCCCACCACCCCUGUCCCACCCUGUCCACCCCCGGUCUCAGGAAACUCCAGCUGCAGCCCACAGGGCUAGGAGCCGCCUCCCCAGACUCCUGGCCAUCCAGACAAGACGCUCCCCAGCCACAGACAGUCCUAACCCAACUACCACGGGAGCCCCUGGCUCAGCCCGCGCUCAGCACCUCAACCCCCAGCCAGCGUGCUCGGAGGAGCCUGGGGCGCCCAAGCUUGUCUGUGGCGCUCCCUCGUGUGGACUCCUGCUGGGGGCCAGGCUGCGCCGGGGGAAGAAACUGGACCUUGAAAGGUCCAGGUGGCAUUUUGUGGACUGAGAUGGGGUGGUAGGAAGAGCCGGCCUGCCCUGAGGUGGGGCAGGGCUCUUGGGGACGCCCUGGUUGGGGGGUCCGGCUGCUCAGCCCGCAGGGGCCCAAGGAGACCCCACGUGGCCAGCCUUUGGAGCCCUGGGGACGCAACUUGGGGAGGAGGUGCAGGGGCAGCCUGAGUGCAGGUGGGAGGGAGGCUUGGGACCGACUCCUCCCCAGCAUUUCCCCAGCCCGGGGCCGCUGACUCACACCCACGCCCAGGGCCCCAUCCCAACCAGCUCUGUCACACUGGCUCUACUGGUUUGCCUGGCCCAGCCCUGCCUGCUGCACCCCCUCCCGCUCAGCCCUUUCCCCAGAGGCUUGGCGGGGAGGUCGACAGCCAGCACCGCCGGGGAGCAGGGUGGGCGCCCCGCAAGGGAGUGGCACCAGGGGGGUGGGGGGAGCAGUGUUAGGGGUUGGGUAGGGCGGGCAGAAGGUCCGCCCACCGGAGGCCUCUCCACACCUGGGCUCGCGAGCCUGGGCUUCGGGCCCCAGGUGCGGGGUGGUCCUGCCCGCGGGCGCUCGCCCUGCGGCGCCUCGCGGAGGCCGUGUUUGCUGCGAAGGCCGUGGCCCCGUCGUGGUGGCUUCGCGACACGGCUGCAGGCGGCCGCUCCUGCACAGCCGGGGCGCGGCCCCUCUUCCGGUGGCCCGUACAUGUCCGCAGCUCCACCGUGCUGACUGCCCCCCUGCCCCCGGGGAAGCCAGGAGAGAGGAGCCAGCCGGUGACGGGGCCCGCACCCCGGAGCGCCCCGAGGCCCCGACAGGUCUUGCCUCCUGCGGCCCAGACCCACAUCCAGGCGCACCCCAGCCCUCCCCUGGGUGUCCUCGAGCUCCACAGCGCAUCCAAAGCGCACACCCGUCACGGCCUUCCUCUCACGCGUCUGGUCUGCCGCGACUGCUCCCUGCUGAGCCUGUGCCCGAGCCCCCACCCCCAAGGACGGCUCUCUGUGCUCCGGCUUCCUUCACUCCCUCCCACCUUGCUGGCCGCUCACCCCGGCUCCGAACCGGCCUCUCCAUUCUGCUCGGUCUGGUGGCCACCAGCAGCCAGUGUCGCGUGCAAGUGUGAUCCUUCCCGGGGUGGUGCUGGCCUUACCCCCAGAUAAACUCCCAGCACCACCGGUCACCUUUGUACCUCCGACCCCCCCAAGGGCCAGGGUAAGGAGCCUGACCUUGUCCUGAGGACAGAGCCGGACCACAGGAGGCUUGCAGAGCCCUGACUGUCAAUUUUAUAGAAGUUGUAUGUGCCCAACGUAUGUAUCGGAAGGACGUCCAGUAGCAGGAGAUCUGGGCUCGGCAAGAGGCAGGAAUGAGGGAGUGGAGGACACGGGCAGGUCAGCCCCGGAAGAUGUCCCGUUAGGAUGUCCAGAGGCGGCGGCCGCUGCUGUGCUCUCGACUUUGCAGCUCCGCUGAGGAUUGUCUCUAAUUGUCCAUGUCCUGGCGUCUCUUUCUCAAGGCCCAGGCGCCUGGUGAGAAGUCCAGUCUGCCCUUAGGUCAUGCUCCCAUUGUCAGGCAAAGGAGGGACGGAUGUCUGUCACCCUUCCCCCAUUUUGGUUUCUGUAGUGGGAAGUGGGCUCCCACUGAAUUUUCUAGAACAGAACCCAGCCUUACAAGGUAGGGGUUCCGAGUCUUCAACAGGCCAGCGUCACGUGGAGAAGCUGCUUUCCCGCUCUGGGUCUGCUCCAAGAAGUCCAUCCAGAGAGCAUCUUCCCCAGCCUCCCGUCACCACCCGCGUUCUUGAUGAUCUGUCCAAACUGUCAGCCAGAGUGUAUGCAUUGAUAUAAAGAAGGUUAUUUGGUAGGACGGUAUCUGGUCUAGAUCAGCCUUGAUUAGAGGGCCUUGUGCUGUUGGUCCCACGUGUCACUAGCAUCCCUGCCACCACGGCCACUCUGUUCGUGGGCCUUUGCCUAAGCACUGGGUGGCCGAGGAGAAAGGCUGGCCAAUGUCCAUAGGGCAGUUGUGAUGUCUACCUGGGUGUCUGAUGCCUCCUCUGCAGUGGACCCUCUCUGGGGUCAUCACCGUGAGACGCAGAGCCAGCCCCGCACGCUCGUUGCCCGCAAACCUGGCCCCCGCUGCUGGUGCAUCCGCGUGCCUUUCCCUGGGCCUGCCUGUCGCUGUUGCUCCAGGCUUGUUCAUUUCAGGCUCCCAAUGCACCGGCCAAGCCCUUCGCUGUUGCCCUGCGCACCGCACGCCACUCUCCUUCCCAUCCACGGGAAGCUGAGAACCAGGCACCCCGGGAGAUUUCCCUCCUCCGCUGUCCUUUGGGACCUCCCGAGAGAGGAGCUGUGAUGUGGCAGUGGUCAGUUUGACUAGUGCCACCGUGUGGACUGAGCUCUGUGAAUCAAGCCCGAGUCCCUCCUCCACCACCUCCCCCAGGAAUGCCAUUGGCGUGGGCUGGGGUCCUGGGAAGCGGCACCGACCCUCCGCAGAGAGAGGAGUGUGGACAUCUUCCUCCCGCUGGAUGUGUCCUUUCUGUCGUAAAGGAUCGCUCUGUGUGUGCCCGACGCCUCAAGUCCGUGGAGCGAGGACCCCGGCUCAGGGUGGGGAAUUCAGGCUGCUUGUCCUCUGGUGCCCCAGUUGGACUUCCAGGCUCCACUGGGGCCGACAGCAUCCCGGGAGCUGUUCUCCAGACCUAGAACUGUGUUCUAGCAGGGAAGGCGCAGCCUUGCUCUGGAGCCUGAAGUCUGUGCCGCGGCCCUCCCACCGGGUUGGCCGGAGGUCCCACACAGCAUCCUUCUCCCCACAAAUACCUGCAGCUUAUCAGACCUGCUGGCCACCUGGCCCGGCAGCCUGGCAGCUCACGCCUCUGCCGUGGCCUCUGGGCUUGACCGUUAGCCCGGGUCUCCCAGGACGUGGGCGGGUGCUGUUCCCGGAUACGGCACUUGCUCCGGAGCCUUGAGAGGCCUGCCAAGCGCUGGGCCUCUUUCCUGGCGGAAGGAGGUCCAAGGCGUAGCAAUUUAUUUUUUCCUUUAAGGUGCCCUGGCGUGUCCCAGAUCUAUGAACCCUAAAAACUUCAUUAGCGUGGUUCUAUCUCCCACCCUCUGGAACUUCCUGGAUCAGUGAACUGUGGGGAUGACCCAGGUUCCUGUGUUAGUUCCCUGUAGCUGCUAAAAGAACAAUUAACGCACAUUUAGUGUCUUAUAACAGCGCGAAUUUAUUAUCUUGCAGGUCUGUGGGUUAGAAGUCCGACCUGGGCUUCAGUGGACUAAAAUCAAGGUCUCGGCAAGCCGGCCACCUUCCUGCAGGCUCUGGAGGGCCAUCUGUGUCUUCAUCUUCUUCAAGCUCCUAGAGGCGCCCACAUUCCUUGGCUGGUGGCUUCUUCCUCCAGCUUCAAAGUCAGCAACCUUCUUCCAAAGUCACAGCUCCCUCUGCUUCUCCGCUGUCCCCCUCUUCCACUUGUAAGGUCCCUUAUGAUCACGUUGCACCUACUCAGAUAAUCCCGGGGGGUUUCGCUAUCUUAAGGUCAGCCGAUUGGCAACCUUAGUUCCAUCUCCAAUCUUGAUUGCCUUUUGCCAUGUAACACAGUGUAUUCACCAGCUCCCGGGGACAGGACAAGGACGUCGUUAGGGGGCUGUCGUUCUGCCCACCGCAGUCCCUAUGAGCUAUAUUGUGACAGGAAGCCAGAGAGUAACCGUGGUCCUGAGACAGGACAGGGAAGGCCUGCUGCGUGGACGCUCUGCAGGCACGGACAGGAGGAGAAAGCUAUGGCCAGUCAGCCGUUACACGCCACAGUGCCAGAGGCUGUGUGGAUCUGCUGCAGUGGAGACGCCACUUCCAGCCUGGCAGCCCUGAUUGCUUCUGCUGCCUGCGUAAGUUUCCUGUCAUCCACCAUCUUCCACGGUUAUUUGUUUCUCGCAAAGGCCAGACAGACGAGUUUAAUGGAGAUGUGAUGGGCCCCUCCACACCUGUUUUCCUCAAAUCUUUUUUUUGUUGUUCUUUUUUUAAAAUUUAGGCUUUAUUUUUUUAGAGCAAAAUUGAGGGGAAGGCACAGAGCUUUCCCAUAGAUGCCCAGUCCCCACACACGCAUAGCCUCCCCCAUUAUCAGCAUCCCUCACCAGAGUGGGACACUGGUGACAAGUGGUGAGCCUACACAGACACCGUAAUCACCCGAAGUCCACAGUCUGCAUUAGGGAUCUCGGUGUCGUGCAUUUUAUGGAUUUGCACAAAUGUAUGACAUGUGUCCAUCACUGUGGUAUCGUACAGAGUAUUUUCACUGCCCUAAAAUUCCGCCGUGUUCUGUCUGUUCCUCCUACCCCCUUCAGUCCCUCACAGCCACCAAUCUUUUUAUUGUCUCCAUAGUUUUGCCUUUUCCAGAAUGUGAAAUUGUUGGAAUCAUACAGUAUUAUAGCCUUCUCAAAUUGGCUUCUUUCACUUAGUAAUCUGCAUUUAAGGUUCCUCCAUGUCUUUUUGUGUCUUGAUAGCUCAUUUCUUUUUAGUGCUAAAUAACAUUCCACUGCCUGGAUGGACCACGGUUUAUUUCUCUGUUCACCUACUGCAGGACAUCUUGGCUGCCUCCAAGUUUUGCCUCCAACUGUGAAUAGAGCUGCUGUAAACAUCUGCGGACAGGAUUUGAUGUGAACAUAAAAUUUCCACUCCUUUCAGUCAGGAGGGAGUGCGCUUGCUCCGCUCGCCUUGUUAACCUGGAGCUCGGGCACACCUGGUGUUGGUCCUGCAGCCGCGUGGACCGCAGCGAGGAGCGGAGCACUGUGAUCCGUAGCCCUCUCCCCACUAGCAGGGCCAACCGCGGCGGACCAAGCAGCCACCACCAUCCAGUGAGCCUUCCGGAAGCUCCUGGCGAGAAAGGAGCAGGCCUGCCGUGAGCAGGACCACCAGGACUACCUGGAGCUGAUGGAGAAGCUGCAGAGGCAGGUGGACGCGCUGCUGAACCGCGAGGGCGUGAGCUGCGACGCGGCGCGGGCGGCGCGGCGGCUGCAGCGGCGCCUGGCCCUCGUGGACUUCGAGGACAGCGACGGCGGGCGGGCAGUCCCUGGCCAUCCAGCUGCUAACCGAGCAGGGCGCCAGUCCUAACAGCAAGGUGGGCGCCGGGCGAGGACUGGGGGCCGCGCCUCGUCCGGGCGGGCCGUGCUCAGUGAGCGCGUCCAGCAGGGCGCCUUCGGCCGGACGCCGCUGUACCGAGCGGCCUUCGGGGGCCACCUGGAAGCCGUGGAGGUGCUUGUGAAGCUCGUAGCUGACCCCCGGGUGUAUGCGGACGACGGACGCACCCCCGAGCAGGUGCGCGGGCGUGGGCAGAAGGCCCCGGUGCGCUUGCUCCCCCACCCGCAAAGCUGUCAGAAGCCUGGGGGCCCCGCCCCGGCUGGUCCCGAACCUUCCAGGACCCAGAGCCUUUGCAGGCCCUUCCCCUCCCAAAGUACUCGCUAUGAGCCUUACCGGGCACACGCGAUCAAGACCACAGCUCCCGGUUUCUUGGGGCCUCCUGUGGCCGGGGUUCUACUCACGUCCCUGGGCCCUCAGCCCACCUUGGAAGCAGUGUUACCAUGGGAGGUGGAGAAACAGACUGGCUCCUCGGGAGCCAGCGCGGGAGCUCUGGGGCACUGAGGGCAGCGCUAGGACCGCCCACCUGGCCCCUCACUCAGAAUUUCCACGUCUCUGAGAAAAUUGAGCUCUAGGGCUUGGAGCCAUGACCCUGCCCAAGGCAGCUCAGCCUGGCAGCUCCUUCGUGGCCCGGGAACGAUGUCAAGGGGCCUUUUCACAGGCCCUGGGCCAGGCUGGGGACACGGGCGCCUGGACUUCUCCCCGGCCCAGGAGGCCAGGUCAGAUGAGGCUGACCCAGGGCCUGUGGGAGCAGCCGUGAAGCCAGAUCACCUAAUGCCACGGCCUUAAUUUCUUCAAAUGAGUCUGACUGGAAUCUCAGGCCCUCGCCCAUCUCAGCCGUGUGUCCUUCCACCCCAGUCUGUAGAGCUGAGGUGUUGGCUGGAAAAUGUGGGACUGGCCCGGGUCUGCUGCUGAGCCCCUGCUUCCACCCGUGGGGUGCCAGGGCCUUUGCCGCCUGGGGACCCCGUGUCCUGGGCGCCACCUUCACCCCCAGCUGCCUCCUCAGGGUGCUGCUCCAGGCUCCCCCUUGUCCUGGAAGGCAUCCCCUCUGCUCUUCUUGGCUUCUCCUUUUUAAUAAGCAACAAGCCAAGCUUGAAAAGACCAGCAGAACCUCUGGCUUCAAACUCCUCCUGCUUCCUCCUCAAAGGAGCAAAAUGUGAGGCUAGGAGGACCGAAGGGCCUGGCCAUGGCCUCAGAGGGGCUGGAGCGAGGAGGGGCACAGGGAGGCCCACCUCUCCGCGGGCCGUGUUGGGGCAGGCCCGGGCGGUGGGCACAGGGCAUGAAGGCUGGAGAAGCAUGCAGGCGGCCUUCUGAGGGGUGCUGAGGAGGAUGUCCAGCCCGCCGGUGCCUGAGGGUGGGGCAGGGGGCACUGAGACGAGCAGUACCCUGGUGGGAGGGGGGAGGCCACUGGCUGCAGGAGGGACAGUCUGGUGCUGGAGCAAUUGGACGUCCACAAGCGAAGGAAUGAACCUUCACCUAAACCUCACCCUAUAUAAAAUGAACUCAAAAUGGAUUAGUAUUUAAAUGUAAACUGUAAAACCUUUAGAAGAACACAGGAGAAAAUCUUUGGGACCUAUGGCUUGGUAAAGGGUUCUUAGACAAAAAGCACAAUCAAUCGAUAAAAGAAA